This 403-nucleotide ribosomal RNA is filed under the name bacterium. RNAcentral describes it as "partial 16S ribosomal RNA". It matches the Rfam family "Bacterial small subunit ribosomal RNA", at positions 355 to 776 of the family's 1533-position model. The record is from RNAcentral.
UGGGGAAUAUUGCACAAUGGGGGAAACCCUGAUGCAGCGACGCCGCGUGAACGAAGAAGGUAUUCGUAUCGUAAAGUUCUGUCCUAUGGGAAGAUAAUGACAGUACCAUAGAAGAAAGCUCCGGCUAAAUACGUGCCAGCAGCCGCGGUAAUACGAAUGGAGCGAGCGUUGUCCGGAAUUAUUGGGCGUAAAGGGUACGCAGGCGGUUUAAUAAGUCGAAUGUUAAAGAUCGGGGCUCAACCCCGCAAAGCAUUGGAAACUGAUAAACUUGAGUAGUGGAGAGGAAAGUGGAAUUCCUAGUGUAGUGGUGAAAUACGUAGAUAUUAGGAGGAAUACCAGUAGCGAAGGCGACUUUCUGGACACAAACUGACGCUGAGGUACGAAAGCGUGGGGAGCAAACAGG